UGCCUCUUAGUGUAAUGGUUAGCACACAAGUUUUUGGCACUUAGAGUAGAGGUUCAAAUCCCCUAGAGGCAA
This 72-nucleotide transfer RNA is filed under the name Crassvirales sp. RNAcentral describes it as "tRNA-Gln". It matches the Rfam family "tRNA". From Rfam's summary of the family: Transfer RNA (tRNA) molecules are approximately 80 nucleotides in length. Lineage: Duplodnaviria; Heunggongvirae; Uroviricota; Caudoviricetes; Crassvirales. The record is from RNAcentral.